RNA transcript from Asparagus officinalis (garden asparagus), 551 nucleotides. It is a transcript of the gene named serine carboxypeptidase 1-like, with no coding region annotated. Lineage: Eukaryota; Viridiplantae; Streptophyta; Magnoliopsida; Asparagales; Asparagaceae. The transcript is spliced from 4 exons. The record is from RefSeq and is a predicted model, not a curated record.
GUUGGAUUCCCGAAAAAAAGAUGCAUCUUGGUGGGUUAUCUUGUUGGCAACCCAGUAACCGAUGGUCAAUUUGAUAACGGGGCAGUAGUUCCAUAUUUUCAUGGGAUGGGACUUAUAUCUGAUGAGCUUCACAAGGUGAUGUUGCAUUUGUGAGAUGUCCCUACAACAGUGCCACUACAACAAAAUUCUGAAGUUUUGGUGAGGGCUGAAGGUUAUGAGUUUAUAUUCUGACAUGCCUCUACAUCUUGAAUACUUAUGCGCUGGUCAGUGCCUCGACUCACUAAGCUGCGUCUUUCCCCCCCUAGGAAUUUGAACCUGGGUUGCUUUGAUACCAUGUCAAAGAUCCUUAUCACUAAACCAAGACUCCAAAGUUGGUUGAGGGUUAUAAUUUUUUUUUACAUGAGCAGCAUCAUCACCGGCUAUAAAGAGAAAGUCAGCAGAGAGACGAUGCGGAGGGCAAUAUGCAGGUCCUGUGAAUGCAAGAUGUGCAGAACCUAUAAGGUCGAUGUUGAGGAUCUGCGUUGUCGUUUGGCUCAGAAACCUGCCGAAAU